CCUAUGUCAUUUUAUUUUUGGUCUCCUGGUUUUAUAGUUGGAUUUUAUUUUACAAGCCAACGUGUGACUCUGUGUUUUGUCAGAGAGGUUUCUAAGGACUUUAUCUUUACUGACUGAUUCUAACUGGCGCUGCUUGCUUCUAACAUGUUUCUCAGAAAUGCAGCCCCUGACAUAGCUCAUCAACCCUGGGAGGGGCAGGGAGCUGCUGUAUGUGAUGGUGGAGCACUCGACAGUCUUCUCUUUGUUAGCUGAAUUCUCUGGAUGGGGUCAGCUUUCUUCACAUAUUGCGAGGAGAAACGGGGCACUUUAAAUUCUUUUGACAGAGUGAGUCACUUCUAGCUAGGAAUGUGACCUAAAAAGAAAUUUCUCAUUUUGUAACACCAUAAUCUUUCUGGUUCAAAUUUUAAUAGCUACCAUUUGUGUGUUUGGAGUUAUCCUUAAUGCUUUACAUAUAGCAUCUUACUUUACCUUCCUAAUGUCCCUAAGAGUAAACUUUGUUCUUCCCAUUUUGCAUAUGAUAAACCAAAGGUCAAUGAACAGUUGUCAUUUGUCCUAGGAAAUAGCAAGAGUUUGAAAACAGGCCCAUUUUACUUCUAAAACUGUGUUAUCUUCUCCUCCACCAAAUCCCCCAGACGACAGAAAAAUGCCUGACAGCGCAUUCCUUCUGCUUCCCACCCCUUUGAGGAGCUCUCCAAAAUUUUGCCGUUUAUUCACCUAAGGCUCAGAAUCAAGUAGGCAAUUUUAGUGCUAUCUUGCUCCCGUUAAGUGAUGCAAAACGCAGUAAGCAGUAGUCUAAUACAGAGACACACCACACGGAAGACAAGAUGGAGUCGCAGGGUAAAAUUUUUAGGAGAGAAGAAAGCCCAGUUUAGAUGAAUUCAACUCAAUAAACAUUGGAUUAGCCCCUGCCAUUUGGCGAUCCUUGGGGAGAUACAAAGAUGAAUUACAAAUUAUUUGUACAUAAGGAGCUCCCAGAUUCUGAUAAGUAAACACGAUUUGAAUUUCGUAAGAAUGGGAGUAUCCAAAAUAUGAGACUGUAUCAUGAAAAUAAGGAUUACAGUUAGAAGGCUAUGUCUUCACUGACAUUUAAAUGCCAAGCUCUGCCCCUGAGUCAGUGGCUCAGUUGGAAGGAAUGGCCUCGAGUGUCAUGGGUUUUUUUAGCUAAAAAACUUCUGGUUUCGAAAGACUUAACAAGUUUCAUAGACCGUUCAACUUCUUCUUAGGAUACAACUAAAGCCAAGCCAGGAAGAGGCAGACAAGAUGAGAAACCCGGAAUCAAGGUAAGACUCAAGGAGAAGAUUGAAACAUAGGUUAAGUGCUCACCAUUUUUUAAAGGCCAUCAGUUCAUUUUGCAUAACCGUUUUUGGAAACCAAAGGAAAAGCAAAGCUACUUCAGCAUUUCUUUCCUGUAUGCAUCACAUAUCCUGAGGCACAUGAAGAAGAAUCAGCACUUCCUCUGGUGACCUGAGUUUGGGGCUACCUAGCACAGAAUGAGUGACUUUGCAUAAGCCAUCAUGAGGCCUGAGACUCUGGCCUCAUCAGUAGUCAUGGGAGCCCACGCUAAGGAAAAGUGGAGUCCAGGGCCACGUAAUCUGCUUGAAAAGCUCUGAAGAAAACAUGAUGCACGGAUCAAAUUCCCGAUGCUACUAGGAGGAGUGCUGAAUAUGGUUGCUUAGAGAACUUCAAGGGGAAGUGCCUCUCCUUACCCCUCUGUAUGCUUCCUGUCACAGAGAUCCAUCUGGAAUAUCCACUACUGUAUCUGUAGUGCUCACGACAUUGUAGGUGUUCAAUGAAUGACAAGAGAACAUAAAAAGUGUUAUAAACUAUCCCAUAGAAAUGAUCGCACUGAGCGUUCCAGGCUCAGAGGGACCCUGGGCCACACUGAGGACUUUAGAGGACACCAGACAUACAGAAAGCUCUAGUGAGAGAUGACUGUCACAGGAGCUGCUACCAGGAGAGAAAUCACUGGAAACCAUAAAAAUCACAGACAGCAGAGCGAAGUGUGAGCAGCAGUAGAAGGAGAGCUGCCUGGAGUUGCAUCUGUUGCUAACAGGAAUUGCCAUUGAAAGCAUCAAUCUCAAAACUUCAGCUCCAAGCUGUCUGCUGGGUCACAAAGUUUGUAAGUGGUAGAUUUAGAAUUUAAGGGGCAAGGGGAAAAAUGUAAAAAACAGAUGACUCAUGUUUUAUCAUUCAAUUUAGAGCAAUCUAGCAUGCACUUUUUUUGCGGAUUCACUGCAAGCUUAGCACAGUUGCUAAGCCUCUUAUCUCUUUGAGUCUUAGUUUUAAACAUCUAUAACUUCAGUUGUCAUCUCUUUAGGAUUCAGGGGGAAGAAAUGACUCACAUGAGCAUAACUCACAUAUGCCUGGGUUAUACCAGAAUCAAUGACUCCACCACUGAAAAAAAUUUUAAGCACCCACUUAUGUUUGAUAAAUUGCACUGGGUUGGUUGCAAAAGGGAAUGCCUAAAUACGGUUCAGAGUGUCCCAUUUCAUAAUUAUUUUCCUGAGACGGCUCACCUGGCUGGGAACUGUACUUGUGUUCAUUUUUUCCAGUUCAUUACUAGGUACCUCCAUUCAGAAAAGACCCAUCUACGUAAGGGUUAUUUUAAUCGUAUUACGGUGAAACUCAUGCCAGGAAUUGCUGGUAUAUUCACAGAGUGCUACGGCAGGUGUCGUGAGUGGAUUUCCUGCUGAAGAGCCAGAUUCCUCCAAAAGAAGAUUAUCAAUUCCAAGGAAAGCAAGUGUGGCCAGCUAGACUGACGACUCCUGCACGUGGGUGUUGCCAGGUGAAAUAAUCUUCUUCAUUCCAGACCACUGCUUGCCAAAGGGCUUGGACAGCCUGUUUAAUAUCACAGCCUCAGAAUUUCCUUGGACUGUGCUAGAAGCAUCUUUUCCAAAUUCAGUGUUUUCAGCGCGCCAACUUAACCUCUCGUGUCCUUUAUACUUAGCUACUCUUUUUCACUAAAAUACUCAACAUCUUUACACCUGAAACAUGAGUCUAAAGAGAUUGUCAGUAGUUGGACCAUUGGAAAUAUGUUCCCAAAAGUAAUUGGAGAAAACAAAAUUGAUUGCUAAAAUGAGUUCAACAUAAAAUCUUAAGUGACUCUGUCUGAUUUCUUCCAAGUGGAUGGAAGUGAGAUGGAUACCAAUGUCAACUUCUGUGUGCUGAGAUCUCUUGCUACUGCCAGUAACAUGGUGUCUUUCCUUAGCCACUGACUGUAGCAAAAUCCUAUCUUAUUUUUUAAUGAAAAUUCUGGAAGAUACACAAAAGUAGAAUAAAAAAGGAAAAAGAAAGAACUCAUGAUUUUAUAUUCUCCUAUGACUAUAUUGAUGUAUUCAUCUGUCUAGAAAAAUCCAUUUUCUAUAUAUGUACUCAGUUUUCUUGGCAGUUAUUUGUUAAUAUUUAUGGACCAUGUGUUAGCCAUGAUCCCUAGAUUUUCUACUUAUUACUAUAUUUUAUCCUCACCCAAAUCCUGUGAAUUAAGUAGUAUAUUUUACAGAUGAAGAAACUAAAGUUCACAGAAGUUUGGUACCCCAUACCACACAGUAAAGGAAAGACUGAGAUUCACACCAGAUCUCUCUAAUUCCAACAGCCAUUGUUAGCUCUUAGGAUUUGUUGUCAAUACUGCAAGGGAGCUCACAAACACAAGCGUACCUGAAAAUGGAUCACCCACAGGGGUAAUAACCACCUUUUUAAGGGGGAAAAAAUCGGGUUACGUUCCCUGAAAAUUGUUAAUCUAUGUAUUUAUGGUUAAACUCCACAAGGCUGGAGACCACUGAGACCUAGACGUCCUCCUAAAGCCAAUGUCACCUUUUACAAUCGGGGACAUUUGGCAAUCCUAGGCGAGCCACAUGGAUUUAUUUCUUACAUAUGUGGCGGCAGACGAAUGUGCAGACACUGCAAAGCUCAGAGGAGCUCGUCCUGUAGACAAUUUUGUCCCAGACGUGACAUUUAAGUUCUCUCAGGAAACGUUAACUCGUUGAAGUUUUAUGCAGUUCUAGCAAGAGCACAAGAGGUUUUAAUAAAUUUUUUAAACAAAUGGACAGUUAUUAAGAAACACAAGGCAGCGUAAACAUAUUUACUUUAGCUUAAAAUGCACUAGAAAGGUUGGAUUCAGAUUUUCUUGAUCACAAGGGUGAUUAUACACAGCUUAGCCAGGGUUUAGGAGUUAAGCAGCAUAUAUUGAAGAUCUCACCUGUGUCAACACCUGUUCUUUAUCUCAGCUCCUCUGAAAAGUUGGGGUAAUAACACCUCUGAGUGCUGUUGUGAAAGACAGUGAAUGAAUGAUGGAGGAAAAGUACUCAGGCCUCUGCCUGAAUCGUGGUUUCCAUUCAAGAAAAGUUAGCAAUUCAACACUAGAACAGGUUAUUGGUCGAUAGAAUCCACAACUUGUAAAUAUAUUCUUUUCUAUUUUUCAAUGAAUUUUGCACAAUGUUCCUUUUUAUCUUGUAAUAAAUGAUUUAAAAUUCAGGAAAAAACUUCAAAUAUACGUAGUUAAAAACCAUUGUUCCUAGACUUUCGACUCCUUGUUCUUUAUGCCAUACUUGCUCAGUAUUCAUGAUUUAAUUCAAUAUUAAGAGUGCUCCUUCCUAUUUUACAUCAAUUGCCAAGUCAUUUAAAGCACUAAUCACAUACCUUUAUUAUAUUGAUUAGCUUUGUAUCGCUGUGAUCUCUUAGUAUCAAGUCAUUGUUUUCUCUACCAUUUUAACGAUUUAUCCAAACUCUAAAUCACAAUGUUUAGAACUACAAAAUUGAAAUAAUCAGGUAGAGAAAAAAACUAUCAAGCCCAAUAAGCUUUAGCAAAUGAGAAAAGACGGGUCUUAAGCCCAGUGCUGCCCUUUAGUCAGUGCAAGCUCGGGCAAUCACUCAUGAGUCCCGGGUUCAGCUUCCUCAACUGUAAGAUGAUCAUCAUGUGUCAGGCCUUCCUCCAAGGGUGUUGUGAAAUAACAUAUUAUAUGUGAAAGUCAUCUGCAAACUGUAGUCUGAGAGGAUGAGAGCUUGUUUAUUUAAACUUUGCCGUGAGAUAGAAGAUAAAAUACGUGAAAAGCCCCUAUCAGCAGUACAGUGCGUAUGGUACGCAUAAUGUCGUGUGAGAGCUUAUUUAUUUAAUCCCUCACAAUGGAGGCUCUGUGGUGUGAGCUGAGGUUUUGUAACAUUGUCAAGGCUUUCCAGAAAAGACGGCAGACCACACUAAGGAGAAUCUGAUAAAGAUCAAAUAAGUGGUCUUAAGAGAGUGUACUGUGGGUGUUCAGAGAGGGAAACAAGAACUAGGGAAACAAGAACUGUUCUUCAGAGAACAGCUACAAAGAGGUGCGUUUUUGACAGCAGCGUUGGAUUUGGGGUAGGAUUGAAAUAAACAGAGGGCAGAAGGGGGAGUUCCAGGUGGAGGAAGAGCCCAAGCCAUCACGUGUAGAGGUAGGAGCGUGCAAAGCCUGAGCGAUGGACUGAUUUGGAUACAGCAGAACCUUCCUGCAGGGAAGCAGUGGGAGAUGGAACUGGCAAGACCCAGCAAGUCUAAGUGGAAUGCCAAGAGAAUGAUGUACUUUGUUAACACAGCACAUUUGAAAGGAAGGCCACAGAAGGAUUCUUGAGCAGGAGAAUGAUGUGGUAAAAACUGUGAACUCCAGAUUCAGACAAACCAAUUUCUAAUCCAAAUUGGCCUUUUACUCAAUGUUUUCUUAGGCAACCCUUCCUGGACGUGCAUGGUGCACUGGGAAAAGCGUGAGCCUGGGAGUCCACGGAGGACCUUAGGAAUGUGAGGCCUCUUUUCUGGACCUACCUUUUGGCCAGCGUGGCGGGCAAUGCCAUCCUCUCGUAUCCUGACUCUUUAUCACUUCUGAAACCGUCUCGGCCACAUUUUUCCUUCACUGAAUUUCUAUCACUGUUCUUCCAUGUUAAGAGUACAAAAGCAGAUUAAGAAAUGUUUUCUCCUAAAAGUCCUCAAAAAAGUUCCAAACUGUCCUGUCUGUUAUUAAUUCUUUUUCCAUCCCUUUAUUUCUCAAUCUCCUUUAGUUGGUCACAUUGCCUUUCAGCAUCCAGUGUAUUACUACAUUACAAUUAGAAACACAUGAUUAUAUUUUUUAUUUAAUUAUUUUACCCAGGUCACGUUGGCCUAUAACACUGUGUAAGUUCAGGUGUACAUUAUUAUAUACCAGUUUCUGUAUAGACUGCAUUGUGCUCACCCCCAAUAGUCUAGUUUUUAUCAGACACCGCACAUAUGUGCCCUUUUAACCCUCACCCUACCCCUGCCCCUAACCCCUUCCCAUCUGGUAACCACUAAUCUGUUCUCCUUCUCCAAGAAACACAGGAUUACAUUUUAAGUGAUCAUUUCCUACCCAGAUCCAUCACUAAAAUGCCCUUUGUCACUAACAAAUUCUGACUCAUAUUUAAUACUGUUUUAACAUCAGAAAUGUUCUUACUAUUUAAAAUUAUCUUAAGCCAAGCUUUAUGUAGAGAGCUUGAAAACUAUCUUUGUGUCUACUGAGGCUCAUGUCAAUCAUAUUUUUGGCAAGAAAGAAAAAUAUUUGGUUCUUGAGUUGGGUCCCACAUUGAUUAUUUAGGUACUGACAUGCUAACAGUAAGGUUUUGCUUUCCUUUUCUUUUUUUAAUCAGGGAAAAUAAAGUCAAUCUACUCAUCUGCCCUCAGUCUCUCAAAACUGGAAGGAGGAGUGAACUUAAGUUUUCACAUAUUCCUUGAUUUUUAUCUUGGCUUCUGGAGAGUGGCAGAAGCCUGUUAUCCUACAAACGUAUGUAGAUUUGGAACCGCCAUUAUUUGAACCAUGCUCCCCAAAACCUAACUAGUACACAAAAGGCAAGUCUGCCGUAACCACUGAACCGGUAAAGAGGGCUGAGUAGAAGCAGUAAAGUUAUCCCACUGAAGCAUGAAAUAGAACUAUAGGAGCCUAAAUGGCCACAGUAGAGAAUCAGAACCACAAUUUCUAAGUUUCUAUUUCUUUCUUUUUCAUAGACAUGGGAUAUGAUUUGAGGUAAAUUGUCUCGAAUUCAAGAAUGUGUUUUUAUUUUGUUUUUCACAUUGUAAAAUGAUAUAGAUACUCUAUAUCCUAAAUAAUAAUGGUCUAUCUAUGGAUCAACUUGAGAUCUUUGGAAAACAAACAUUAAACAAUGAUGGAAAUGCCCAAUGGUGAUUUAUGAGUCUGGAAACCAUGAUAAUAUCAUUAUCAUCUGAGUUUUAAGUUGUUAUAAAUGAGAAUGGACUUAGAAUGCCAUUACUGGGAAUUUAUUCCCUAUGUCUGUACAUCAGUAACAUUUUACAGAUAUAAAAUGAUCUUUUCAAAAUGAUGUUUCAUGGUGUUUGCCUUCUAGUUUAUUACUGUAACACUUAAAAUGUUUAGAGUUGAAAUUAUCUGGAACUAGACAUUAAAAUGGUAAAUAUAUAUCCCUGGCUUUUCAACUAACUUGUUUGUGGUCUGUUAUGAUCUCUCUUUGGAGAAUUAUUUAGAUAAGGCUGCUCUUUUUCAAAAGAAAAUUUGAGAUAAUUAAAAGGGAUUUUUAUAAACAACUCUAAUUCCUAUUGAGAAAAUCAGAAUUUAUCACUGAAACAAAACAAAAUGCAUG
This is a non-coding RNA of Equus caballus (horse), 7575 nucleotides long. Lineage: Eukaryota; Metazoa; Chordata; Mammalia; Perissodactyla; Equidae. The record is from RefSeq and is a predicted model, not a curated record.